CGAUGGGGUUCGAAUGCGCUGGUCGAAACCGGUUUGCCCUAGCGUGGGAAACGCCCCAAAGAUCC
Molecule: small nucleolar RNA, 65 nt
Filed under: Leishmania donovani
Lineage: Eukaryota; Euglenozoa; Kinetoplastea; Trypanosomatida; Trypanosomatidae
Description: H/ACA box snoRNA LD23Cs1H1
Rfam family: Trypanosomatid snoRNA TB8Cs3H1
Source: RNAcentral